This 494-nucleotide ribosomal RNA is filed under the name uncultured bacterium. RNAcentral's name for it is "partial 16S ribosomal RNA". It matches the Rfam family "Bacterial small subunit ribosomal RNA", at positions 28 to 507 of the family's 1533-position model. The record is from RNAcentral.
GACGAACGCUGGCGGCGUGCUUAACACAUGCAAGUCGAACGGAAAGGCCUGCUUUCCCUUGUGGAUUGCGGGUACUCGAGUGGCGAACGGGUGAGUAACACGUGAGUGAUCUGCCCCCAACUUGGGUAUAAGCCUGGGAAACUGGGUCUAAUUCCCGAUAGGACUGCAGGGUGGUGCCUGUGGUGGAAAACGAUUUUCUAGUGGUUGGGGAUGAGCUCGCGGCCUAUCAGCUUGUUGGUGGGGUAAUGGCCUACCAAGGCGGCGACGGGUAGCCGGCCUGAGAGGGUGGACGGCCACAUUGGGACUGAGAUACGGCCCAGACUCCUACGGGAGGCAGCAGUGGGGAAUAUUGCACGAUGGGCGGAAGCCUGAUGCAGCGACGCCGCGUGGGGGAUGACGGCCGUCGGGUUGUAAACUCCUUUCGACCGCGAGGAAGCCACCUGGUUGGAAGGGUGGUGACGGUAGUGGUAGAAGAAGCACCGGCUAACUACGUG